Eremomyces bilateralis CBS 781.70 is the source of this 72-nucleotide non-coding RNA. NCBI's taxonomy places the organism in Eukaryota, Fungi, Ascomycota, Dothideomycetes, Eremomycetales, Eremomycetaceae. The record is from the annotation of a RefSeq genome assembly.
GGAGUGGUAGCUCAGUGGUAGAGCAUGGGAUUGCAGAUCCCAGGGUCUCGCGUUCGAUCCGCGAUCGCUCCU